This 486-nucleotide unclassified non-coding RNA is filed under the name Hevea brasiliensis (rubber tree). Lineage: Eukaryota; Viridiplantae; Streptophyta; Magnoliopsida; Malpighiales; Euphorbiaceae. The record is from RNAcentral.
GACAUCCCACUAUCUUCAGUUGAGGAUGACACUGGCGAAGGUGGAAGAAACCAACCAACCUGGGAGAAGUGGUCAAAUGAUGGUACGGAGCGACAGGUAGCUAAGCUUAUGGAAGAAAAUGUUGGUGCAGCCAUGCAGUUUCUUCAAUCAAAAGCUCUAUGCAUCAUGCCCAUCUCACUAGCGACGGCAAUUUACCAUACGCAACCACCGGAUACCGCUACUAUUGUAAAACCAGAAACAAAUCCACCAUCAUAGAACUUAGAAAGGGCUUUUUUCAAAGCAGGGUUGGAUGUCAAUGCCCAAAAAAAUACAGGCAGGCCCUUGAUGUCCUGCCAAGUUCAAGUGAAAGAGAAGAAUUUUCAAAGCUCAGUUGAUGCGCUCUUCUUUUUGGUAUCAGUGGUGGGGAUAGUGGGAAAUGAUGGGAGCACUUUUUUAGAGUGGGGGCACCAAUUUUUGGUAGUGGCUGUGGGACCUUGUAAAAGGGGC